RNAcentral lists this ribosomal RNA (425 nucleotides) under uncultured bacterium. RNAcentral's name for it is "partial 16S ribosomal RNA". It matches the Rfam family "Bacterial small subunit ribosomal RNA", at positions 354 to 796 of the family's 1533-position model. The record is from RNAcentral.
GUUAGGAAUAUUGGACAAUGGGCGCAAGCCUGAUCCAGCCAUGCCGCGUGAGUGAUGAAGGCCUUCGGGUUGUAAAGCUCUUUAGUCCACGAAUAUAAUGACUGUAGUGGAAGAAUAAGCCCCGGCUAACUUCGUGCCAGCAGCCGCGGUAAUACGAAGGGGGCGAGCGUUAUUCGGAACCACUGGGCGUAAAGCGUGCGUAGGCUGUUUUGUAAGUCAGAAGUGAAAGCCCAGGGCUUAACCCUGGAAUUGCUUUUGAAACUACAAGACUCGAAUUCGGGAGAGGAUAGCGGAAUUGUCAGUGUAGCAGUGAAAUGCGUAGAUAUUGACAGGAACACCAGUGGCGCAAGCGGCUAUCUGGACCGAUAUUGACGCUGAGGCACGAAAGCGUGGGGAGCAAACAGGAUUAGAUACCCUUGUAGUCC